ACGCAACAAAUUGUUCACUGUGUC
Molecule: non-coding RNA, 24 nt
Filed under: Arabidopsis thaliana (thale cress)
Lineage: Eukaryota; Viridiplantae; Streptophyta; Magnoliopsida; Brassicales; Brassicaceae
Source: RNAcentral